AUUGAACGCUGGCGGCAUGCCUAACACAUGCAAGUCGAACGAAUGGCGGACGGGUGAGUAGUGUCUGAGAAACUGCCUGAUGGAGGGGGCUAACUACUGGAAACGGUAGCUAAUACCGCAUACCAUCAGAUGUGCCCAGAUGGGUUGAGCUAGUUGGGGGGGUAACGGCUCACCAGGGCGACGAUCCCUAGCUGGUCUGAGAGGAUGACCGGCAACAUGGGAACUGGGACACGCCCAAGACUCCUACGGGAGGCAGCAGAGGGGAAUAUUGGACAAUGGGCGAAAGCUGGAUCCAGCCAGGCGGCGUGUGUGAAGAAGGUCUUCGGACUGUAAGGCACGUUAAGUUGGGAGGCGGUACCAACAGAAUAAGCACCGGCUAACUUCGUGCCAGCAGCCGCGGUAAUAC
RNAcentral lists this ribosomal RNA (406 nucleotides) under uncultured bacterium. RNAcentral describes it as "partial 16S ribosomal RNA". It matches the Rfam family "Bacterial small subunit ribosomal RNA", at positions 29 to 526 of the family's 1533-position model. The record is from RNAcentral.